This 468-nucleotide ribosomal RNA is filed under the name uncultured bacterium. RNAcentral's name for it is "partial 16S ribosomal RNA". It matches the Rfam family "Bacterial small subunit ribosomal RNA", at positions 28 to 507 of the family's 1533-position model. The record is from RNAcentral.
GACGAACGCUGGCGGCGUGCUUAACACAUGCAAGUCGAACGGAAAGGCCCUGCUUUUGUGGGGUGCUCGAGUGGCGAACGGGUGAGUAACACGUGAGUAACCUGCCCUUGACUUUGGGAUAACUUCAGGAAACUGGGGCUAAUACCGGAUAGGAGCUCCUGCUGCAUGGUGGGGGUUGGAAAGUUUCGGCGGUUGGGGAUGGACUCGCGGCUUAUCAGCUUGUUGGUUGGGUAGUGGCUUACCAAGGCUUUGACGGGUAGCCGGCCUGAGAGGGUGACCGGCGACAAUGGGACUGAGGUACGGACCAGACUCCUACGGGAGGCAGCGGUGGGGAAUAUUGCACAAUGAGAGGAAGCCUGAUGCAGCAACGCCGCGUGCGGGAUGACGGUCUGCGGGUUGUAAACCGCUUUCGCCUGUGACGAAGCGUUAGUGACGGUAAUGGGUAAAGAAGCACCGGCUAACUACGUG